AUGGGGACAGUGGCUUCAAACUUUCUCCGGCACAAGGUGCCCCGUCCCCAGAGGUUUCUGGAUCGGGCUUCCAUGGCAGCAGGCGUGACCUGGCCAAGAGCUGAGCCAGGCCUCCUGCCUGUAAGGGCCGCUGGCCGGGAGCAGAGCAGGAAGGCUGGACCCCAGCCCUGCUGGACACCUGCCUGGCAGAGGACACUCGAAGACAAGCCAGGCCAAUCCAGAGCUGAGUCCAGAGCUCCCAAGAGGCCCCCGACGGCGGAGCACCACGUCGGCCACGUGGACACCACAUGGCACCCCACGGCCGCCACCAGAGAAGCCCCCCUUCCCCGGGGCCUCGCCUCCCUCGGACACCAUCCCCACCUGUCAUCCCUCCUGAGUGGUAUGUGGACUGUCCAGGGGGUGAGUCAGGUAGAGUCAGGGGCUCCGAGGGGCAGUGGCCAGAGAUGCUCUGGGGAAGGGCGAGGGCGAUGCCCUGCGGGGAGGGGACUCCGGACACACCCUCGGUCGCACGGCCCACCCUACUGGGCUCGGCUGAGGAAGGCGGAGGGUCCGGCAUCGAGGCGACAGCUAACUGCUCGAGAGCCCAGAAGGCAGUGGUGGAGGGCAGCCCUCUGAUGGCCGGGGCCGGGCAGCACCCUGGACGUCCAGGCAGACAGGGAAACUGCUCAACCCAGUAACACGGACACGUGGCCUUUCCUGCCUGCCCUUCCCUUCUCUGGGGACGUGGGGCCAGGAGCACUCCCGGGGCGCAGGGCUCGCCUCACCCGGGGCCCAGCCCUGCCAGGGGAUGGGGGCCCUGAUUCUGACCCCCAGCUCAGCCGGAGGCCAGUCCUGAGGAGUGAGGCCAAGUGAGCCCGAGGGCGGGCGGAGAGUGUGGCGCUGUGGCCGCGCCCUGUCCAGGUGGGCGUGCGGUCUGCAGCUCGGGGCCCCAGGACCUCAGAUGGCUCCCGGACCAGAUGCACAGCAGCAAGGGGCUGGGGGGGGCUUCCUGUCCCUGACCUGUCCCCUAACCUGGCCUCCGUCUCAGAGCCUAGGUGGUACUCCGUGACCUCGGGCCUUGGGGGUGCGCAUGAAAGACAGGCAGGGAGGCAGUGCUCUUCCUUCUGGGCCCCGCUGUCCCCCUGCCCCAGCCCCACCUGGGUGGGACCCCGGCCCACAGGGGAAUGGGCUUCUGGAUCACACCACAGCCCACCCCACACCCCCUUCCGGAAGCACCUGUGUCGGCGGGUCUGGAGCAUGGGGUGGGGUGCCUGGGGACGUCCCCGGGGAGUUGGGUGCACAGGGGGGCCACCGCUUCUCCCUCAGGGCAGCAGAUUGGGGUCCGCGGUUCCGACGCCACUUGCCCCCCUCCUUGAUUAAAGACGUGAGGCGCCUCUGUAUCCCCCCCAGGGAAGGGGGGGCAGGCCAGGAAGGACCCAGCCAGCCCCGCUAGCCCUCGUCUGACGAGCAGAGCUGCCACCUUCCAAGAAGGGGCCACAGCUCAGCACGCCCCAGAGCGAGAGGGACAGGGCACCAGGCCGGGACCUGCCCAUCUGUGCCCCAUGUCCACUUGAGGUCAGGGGAGACUGGGGGCCCCCAUGAGGGCCCGGGGGAGGGGCAGUCCCCGAGAGGGGGGGCUCCCGGCAGGGGAUCCCUGGUCUGGGGGAGGGGCGCCAAAGGACGAACGGGUACACAGAGAAAUAGAUAAAUAUGCCAAGCUUUUUCUUUUUUCUUUUUAAAUCAGGCAUUUAUAAACAAGAAAGCAUACAUUAAUUACAUAAAAAUAGUUUUCCAAUAGUAGAGUAAGUCAUAUCGUCAUUAGCAGCAGCAAAGGAGAGAAGGGGUCGGCGAUGCAGACGCUCCUCGCGGGGCGAGGGGAGAGCCGUGGUUUUUUCCUUAAUGGAACAAAAAGGGUUCUUUGUUGACUCCUGACUUAAAGCAAGAACAAGCCGCCUCCCGAGCCGGGCGGGCGGGCGGGCUGUUCUUCCUCAGCUAAAAACAACCCCGAAAACGAGACGAGCUACCCGGUGAGAAGCGAGUCCUGGAGAAGGAACCACCACAUACACGCAGGACGCAGGGUGGAAAGGGGGCGUAUUUACACGGUCGGUUUUUACAUCGCUAGUUCCGCACGGAAAGCAGAAGACGUGUGAGUGAGUUAGCUGCUCCGGAGACGUGAAUGUUAUUGCUGUUGUUGGUUUUUCCCUUCGUUAAACAUCUUCUUUCGGCGGAGAAAUAAUGAGUGAUUAAACUGAAUACACAAUCAUUUCGAUGAUGGGCCUCACACACAGGGAGCGGCGACCACCUACGAGAGGUCUCCUCCCUUCGCAGAGAAACUCGGGUGCAGCUGCAGCGCGGGGCCCCAGGGCCCUGCCGCCCGCCAGCCCCACGCCCUGGCCUCGCCCGGGGGCCCUCGGGGUGGCCCGGGUGGGCCAAGGCCUUCCCGGGGCCCGAGACCCUGCUGCGCCUCCAGCCCUUCCCGAUGGCUGGGGACAAAGCUGGACGGUGGCGGCAUGGACUCGACGGCCGAGACGGACCGGACGGGUGACCGGAGGGGACGGUGCCCCCACACCCCCCGGAGAACUGCCUCUCCCUCGGAGCCUGGGAACUCGAAAGUCAACGGAGCAAACCAGGCGGCCGCGGGCCAGAGGUCCCAGGUGCCCAGGAGCUCACUAGAUUUUCAGACUUGGCAACAGCACAGCCGCACAGACACACUCAAAGCUUUGCUCCGGCUCAAUCAUUUCGUUUUCCUUGAAAAAAUGACUGAAAAACACACCUCUGGAAAGACAAGGCUAAACACAGCGUUCUGAGUGUUGCGUGACUCAACUGACCCUCUACGCGACACGGUGAUUAAUGCCCAUGGGUGGAUGUACGAUUGGCAGAGGUUUUAAAUUCCAUGCAUACAGAUUUAAUAACUGCAAAGAAAAACAAAAGCAAAAAAUAAAAAUAAAAAACAACAAACGCUGCAUAUACACGACGUCCCUUUUGCAUUGCACUUUAGAAGGGGUCCAGCAGCACCGCCCCCCCCCCCCCCCGCCCCCCCCAGUAAACCAAGGGCAAACCCAGCAGACUCCGAGACCAAGCAUGUCACCACCUUGCGCGGCCGCCGGGCCCCGGCAACCUCCGCCUCCCAGCAGCUGCCGCGGUGUCAGAACGGAGUCAGGCAACGAGCUCUGGUGAGAUCUUUCUAUGUAAAUAAAUACCACCAUUUCAGGAUGGGCAGCCGCCUGUCUACCGGGAAGUCAUUUUUCAAGCUGGGGCAUAAGAAACCUUACACGAUUCGCAUACAGCUGAGAGUAAACGAGAUUAUUUGGAAUAACUGCAAGGAACCCAUUUUGAUAGUGGCAGAUUCGAUCGCUACGGGAAAUGUAGUUUGGGGGUAAAAAGACGAGUCAGGGUUUGCUGUACAAGAUGCUGGAAGGCACAGAACUACCCCCCGAAGUUCAGUUUUUGCAUUUUCGUUUUCGUGUGAUUCCCUUGUUCAACCAAGCACCAGAGGGGUUUCUAAACACUCAGCACUUUGGAGUGAAUGCUCUAGAAAUCAGUCUGCAGUAUCUGAAAAUAAAAACCUCAGUUAGCUGGGCGAUAAAAAGAGAAGGGAAGGUUUCUGACAAAGUGCAGUUCUAAAUAUACGUUUAAAUGAACGAACGAACAAAAAGAAAAAGAAAACGUGAAAUAAUGCUGUUUUGUUCCAAUGCUGCAGCCUCGGUCCCCAAACAGAAGGAGCAACGUGUGCCAAACAGAGAAGGGCCGCCGUGGCG
RNAcentral lists this long non-coding RNA (3737 nucleotides) under Sus scrofa (pig). RNAcentral describes it as "lncRNA (ENSSSCG00005001272.1)". Lineage: Eukaryota; Metazoa; Chordata; Mammalia; Artiodactyla; Suidae. The record is from RNAcentral.